RNAcentral lists this unclassified non-coding RNA (335 nucleotides) under soil metagenome. RNAcentral's name for it is "partial contains 5.8S ribosomal RNA, internal transcribed spacer 2, and large subunit ribosomal RNA". The stretch from base 1 to 120 matches the Rfam family "5.8S ribosomal RNA", at positions 35 to 154 of the family's 154-position model. The record is from RNAcentral.
GAUGAAGAACGUAGCGAAAUGCGAUAAGUAGUGUGAAUUGCAGAAUUCAGUGAAUCAUCGAAUCUUUGAACGCACAUUGCGCCCCUUGGUAUUCCAUGGGGCAUGCCUGUUCGAGCGUCAUUUGUACCUUCAAGCUCUGCUUGGUGUUGGGUGUUUGUCCUUGCUCUAGUGGCGGGACUCGCCUUAAAGUAAUUGGCAGCCAGUGUUUUGGUUUUGAAGCGCAGCACAAGUCGCGAUUCAAGUCUAUACGCUAGUUUCCACAAGUCUUUUAUCACUUUUGACCUCGGAUCAGGUAGGGAUACCCGCUGAACUUAAGCAUAUCAAUAAGCGGUGGA